UCGUCUGCUUGGUAUGUUUUGUUGAGCACGUGUUCAUGUUCAUUUAUUGAGUUGCGUUUCUCGUAAAAAUUGUGUGUGAAGUGCUUCGGAAAGCCAUUUGGUGUGGGAAGAUAAAAAAAAUUAAUAUCUGAUUUCCGGUACAAAACAAUGGUGAAAAAUGAGAUUUAAUGAUUUUAGAUGGGGUAAACCUUGUCCUAUUGCUCAUACCACAUAUUAUUUCCCGAGUUUAGACUUUCAAUGUUUGAUCAUGCCAAAUGAUGAUGGUUCUAGGACAGAAGGACAGCUGUUACCUACAACAAGUUAGUUUACUGUUAGGAAAUGGAGUAAAUACAGUGUUAACUGUUAAGUAACAGACAUUAAGUCAUUAACCCUACCCAGAGAUAAGUUGGCCUUAAUAUUUUGGGUUCUGGAAUACUCAUUCUCGCCCGGAUGUUUGUUCGGAUUUGGCUUAUUUAAUAUCCGAAACAAAUUGAGUUGGCUUUUGUUCCGGUU
Molecule: long non-coding RNA, 492 nt
Organism: Daphnia pulicaria
Lineage: Eukaryota; Metazoa; Arthropoda; Branchiopoda; Diplostraca; Daphniidae
Exons: 4
Source: RefSeq, a predicted model, not a curated record